This 138-nucleotide small nucleolar RNA is filed under the name Ornithorhynchus anatinus (platypus). Lineage: Eukaryota; Metazoa; Chordata; Mammalia; Monotremata; Ornithorhynchidae. The record is from RNAcentral.
ACCUUCUCAGGAUUGCACCUGGGGAGUUCCCAGUAUUCUUCCAGUCUCAGCUAUGGGAGGGAGAGUCAAGCUGAGGCAUACCCAUUCCAUUCCUAGCUUGGACAGUGGCUAGUGAGUGGAAGGCAAUCUGCUACAAGU